This 110-nucleotide non-coding RNA is filed under the name Candidatus Kaiseribacteriota. RNAcentral describes it as "Candidatus Kaiserbacteria SAM-I sequence". It matches the Rfam family "SAM riboswitch aptamer (S box leader)". From Rfam's summary of the family: The SAM riboswitch is found upstream of a number of genes which code for proteins involved in methionine or cysteine biosynthesis in Gram-positive bacteria. The SAM riboswitch acts at the level of transcription termination control. The record is from RNAcentral.
AUCGUAUCAAGAGUGUGGCGAGAGUUCCGGCUCUGUGACCCACCGGCAACCUGUCCCGAGACCUCUCAAAGGAUAAGGUGCCCCAUCCGGCCCUCACGGGAAGAUGCUUU